Molecule: ribosomal RNA, 451 nt
Filed under: uncultured bacterium
Lineage: Bacteria
Description: bacterial SSU rRNA
Rfam family: Bacterial small subunit ribosomal RNA
Source: RNAcentral
ACUCCUACGGGAGGCAGCAGUGGGGAAUAUUGCACAAUGGGCGAAAGCCUGAUGCAGCAACGCCGCGUGAGCGAUGAAGGCCUUCGGGUCGUAAAGCUCUGUCCUAUGGGAAGAUAAUGACGGUACCAUAGGAGGAAGCCCCGGCUAACUACGUGCCAGCAGCCGCGGUAAUACGUAGGGGGCAAGCGUUAUCCGGAAUUACUGGGCGUAAAGCGCGUGUAGGUGGCUUGUUAAGCCAGAUGUGAAAGCCCCGGGCUCAACCUGGGAACUGCAUUUGGAACUGGCAGGCUAGAGUUUUGUAGAGGGUGGUAGAAUUUCAGGUGUAGCGGUGAAAUGCGUAGAGAUGCUGAAGGAAUACCGGUGGCGAAGGCGACCAACCUGGCCAAUAACUGACACUGAGACGCGAAGGCGUGGGUAGCCAAACGGGAUUAGAUACCCUGGUAGGCUCUGC